CUCUGUCCCACUCCGUCGUGUUCCUCAGCCGUUCUUCCUCCUCUGCCGCAAUACG
RNAcentral lists this small RNA (55 nucleotides) under Arabidopsis thaliana (thale cress). RNAcentral describes it as "ATSL065410". Lineage: Eukaryota; Viridiplantae; Streptophyta; Magnoliopsida; Brassicales; Brassicaceae. The record is from RNAcentral.